AUCCCGCAAGGCAGAACGACCCGCGAACGUGUGAGUUGAACCUCACGGUUCACUCCACUCUCUGUCCAACGGGGGGGAGCCACGGCCCCUCUCCCGCGGGCCCCAACAACGAACCCCGGCGCAAAUCGCGUCAAGGAACUGGAAGUAGAUGAUGUGCGGCCCCCUCGCGUCACGGACUCGAGGCGGGCGCACGUCGUUCGUAUCUCAUAAUACGAAACGACUCUCGGCAACGGAUAUCUCGGCUCUCGCAUCGAUGAAGAACGUAGCGAAAUGCGAUACUUGGUGUGAAUUGCAGAAUCCCGUGAACCAUCGAGUUUUUGAACGCAAGUUGCGCCCGAAGCCGUCAGGCCUAGGGCACGUCUGCCUGGGUGUCACGCAACGUCGCCGCGACCCCCCGGUACCCCCCAUUCGGGGUGGCGGGGCACGGCGGAUGCUGGCCUCCCGUGCGCUCCCGCUCGCGGUUGGCCCAAAACACAGACCCUCGGCGAUGGUUGCCACGGCACGCGGUGGUCGGAACCAAAGGCUCCCAGCCAGAGAACCGCCGUGCGCAAAUCCUCGUCGAUGGGAUCAAUAGACCCCCACAUCGCACAGCGACCC
This 597-nucleotide ribosomal RNA is filed under the name Schaefferia argentinensis. RNAcentral's name for it is "eukaryotic LSU rRNA". The stretch from base 219 to 374 matches the Rfam family "5.8S ribosomal RNA". The record is from RNAcentral. Lineage: Eukaryota; Viridiplantae; Streptophyta; Magnoliopsida; Celastrales; Celastraceae.